UUUUGUUUGUUAUCCUGUGAACAGUUCUUUGCCUUUGCCAUUUUUCUAUUGGAUGGUUGACUUUUAUUAUUUAUUUCUCAGGAGCUCUUUACAUACUAAAGAAAUAAGCCCUCCUCUGUCUGUGAUACAAAUAGAAAGGAUUCCCUCUGCCUCUGCUGCUUCUUGACACCUGUGAUUUGACUUUAUAGACGGGGGUUUUGCCAUACAGAAUUAAACAUGUUUUAUGUAGUCCAGUGUAUUAAUAUUAUCUUUUAUGGCCCUUGGGUUUUGUUGUCAUUAGAAAUGCCUUCACCACUCUGAGGACUGCAAUAACAUUUUUUCCCGUGGUUGCUUCUAGCUGAAGUAGUGUUUUAACGAUCUAUUAGACUGGUGCAAAAGUAAUUGUGGUUUUUGCCAUUGAAAGUAAUGGUAAAAACCGCAGUUACUUUUGCACCAACCUAAUAGAUCAUGCCACUUCCCUCUUAAAACCUUACAGUGACUUAUCAUUAACUUUAGACUGGCAUCCACUCUCUUGACGUUGAGCCCCAAGGCACCAGGCGACCUAGUCCUGCCUCUCCCCCAUCUCUCAUCCCCUUGGGCGCUGUAGUGGCCUUCUUUCUGGUUCUUGAACAAGCCACAUUCAGGUCAGCCUUCUGGUUUUUGCCUUUGCUGUUCUCUCUGCCUGGACUGCCUUCUCCUGACUCUUUACUUGGAAGCUUCCUCCUCCUUAUUCAGGUCUCACCUUCUUACAGAGGUGUUCCCUGGUUCCCCCACCCCCACCCCAAAUGUUCCUUGCUCCACUUCCUCAGCAGACACUCUUCACAGCCGUCUCUGAAAUUAUCUCCAGGAGAGCAGGGAGCUCCCUGGUCACGUUCCUGCCACAUUACCAGGGCCUGGAAUGUACAGACUCUCAGUCACUAUUUGUAAACACUGGGUGCACAUAAGGUUAUGUGCGAGAACUGUUUCUGUGUGUGUAAGCCUGGAGAGCUGUGUGUUAAGGGUGGUAUGUGGGCCACGUGUGUGUAGGCUUUGAUGUGCGUUGUUGUGAGUGUGUGUGAUGGUGGAGAUGGCUGGGGUGGUGUGGGAGGCUGUGUGCAUGUGUGGUUGUGAACGUGUGUGAUGGCAGAGAUGGCUGGGGUGGUGUGGGAGGCUGUGUGCAUGUGUGGUUGUGAACGUGUGUGAUGGCGGAGGUGGCUGGGGUGGUGUGGGAGGCUGUGUGCAUGUGUGGUUGUGAACGUGUGUGAUGGCGGAGAUGGCUGGGGUGGUGUGGGAGGCUGUGUGCAUGUGUGGUUGUGAAUGUGUGUGAUGGUGGAGAUGGCUGGGGUGGUGUGGGAGGCUGUGUGCAUAUGUGGUUGUGGUGGUGUGUAGUGGUGUCUAUGUGUGUGGUUGGGUUAUUCUGCUCUGGUAACCAGGUGAUUUUAUCACCUAGGUCCUGUCAUUCUGACUCUGCCAGAUGCUGGCUUUUCACUCUUGAUAUGAGAUAGUGCCCCCAACAACUGGCCUUUGCUUUUUCUGGAGUGAGCUGGAAGAGUUCCCCAUUCCAGAGAGAAUGGCUCUGAGAACCUU
Molecule: long non-coding RNA, 1545 nt
Filed under: Homo sapiens (human)
Lineage: Eukaryota; Metazoa; Chordata; Mammalia; Primates; Hominidae
Description: HSALNT0004735
Rfam family: mir-548 microRNA precursor family (bases 360-443)
Source: RNAcentral